Molecule: long non-coding RNA, 1186 nt
Filed under: Ananas comosus (pineapple)
Lineage: Eukaryota; Viridiplantae; Streptophyta; Magnoliopsida; Poales; Bromeliaceae
Description: long non-coding RNA (ACOM_LNC033089)
Source: RNAcentral
AAAAAUGUGGCCCGAUUUUGUAAACUCUCAAAACUAAUAAAUUUUAUGCAAAUUUGCCUUUAAAUAUAGUUUUUAGAUUUUAAAAUUUAAAAUUUAUAUUUUAAAUUUCAAAUUUUGAAUUUUAAAUUCUAAGUAUCAACUUCCAAAAAUUAAAGUUUUAAAUGUAAAUUUUAAAUUCAAAUUUAAAUUUAUCUCAAAAUAAAAUUUAGACAAAAAAAUUCAGUAAAAAAAAAUUUACCAAGCAACUUUACAAAAUUACUUUUUUUAAAAAAAUUGGUUUAUACAUCUAGGGCGUGUUUGGUUCGAAGUCGGAGUCGGAAUCGGAAUCAUGAUCAAAAUAAGCUGGAAUCGGAAUCGGAAUAACUCAUUACCUAAUUCCGUUUGGUUCAUCACUUGAAUCGGAAUCGGAAUAAAUCAUUCCCAUUGUUGAUGUUUGGUUCAUGUAGAUAUAAAAAACAUAAUCAAAUUAAUAUACUGACAUUAUCUUUAUAAUAUAUUAAUUUAAAUUCAAAUUAUAAAUUAAAUAUUAAAAAUUUACAUCAAAAUUUUUAAAUAAUGUCAAAUUUUAAAUCUAUUUUUUUAAAAUAAAUUAAUCUUUGAAGUUGAGUGGAUAAUUCAAAAUAUGAAACUAAAUUUUUAUUUAUUCAAAUUCAAACUUAAAAUUACAAUUUAAAUUUUAAUUUGAAUCCGUAAAUUUAAUUUAAGUUUGAAAUAAAAUUUGAAUAAAAUUUAUAUGAAUUAAAAUUUAAUUUAAAUUCAAAUUCAUAAGUUAGAUUCAAAAUACUUGAUUACAUUUUAAUUUUUAAUUUAAGUUCAAAUUAAAAUUUAAAAUUAUAUAUUUAAUUUUUAAAUUUUAACUCAUAUUUUAAUUAAAAAAGUUGAAAAAAUAAAUUUAAUCCGAAUAAAUAUUCAUUCCGUCCGGAUUCAACUUUCAAUCCAGCCUUCUAGACCGGAUUGAAAAAAGGGGUGAUUCGGGGAUUCCCAUUCCACUCGGGAAUCGGAAUCGGAAUGGGACUUCCGCGAACCAAACACCCAUAAACGGAUUCAUCCAUUCCGAUUCCGAUUUCAUGGUGAAAAAGAAACGAACCAAACAUGCCCCUAGACUCAACCAAAUACUAUAUAUAACUUCGAAACAAAAUUAAUUUUUUAACCCAAAAUAAAUUUGUGUAAAAAUUUCUUCUCCAAC